AGAUCAAAUUGUCGGUCGUGCCUCGGUACGUACUGGCGUUAUUGGUUCCUCCCUUCUGAAGAACCGCGAUGUCAUUAAUUUGGUGUCGCGGGGAAUCAGGACUGUUACUUUGAAAAAUUAGAGUGUUUAAAGCAGGCUCGCGCUUGAAUACAUUAGCAUGGAAUAAUGAAAUAGGACGUUUGAUUCUAUUUUGUUGGUUUCUAGGAUCGACGUAAUGAUUAAUAG
This 225-nucleotide ribosomal RNA is filed under the name uncultured Glomeromycotina. RNAcentral describes it as "partial small subunit ribosomal RNA". The stretch from base 39 to 225 matches the Rfam family "Eukaryotic small subunit ribosomal RNA", at positions 686 to 875 of the family's 1831-position model. Lineage: Eukaryota; Fungi; Glomeromycota. The record is from RNAcentral.